AUUAACAAGGAAAUAAUAAAUGUUCUAUCACGAAGGAAUGUGAGCUAAACGCACAUAUGACGUAUUUGCGUGCGUCGCAUAGCACGUAUUAAAUGCGCGUUUAGGGGUGAUAGGCUUUUCAAACGUUCUUAUAGCUUGUUUCAUAUGAAAAGUAUUAAGUACCUAAACAAAUUUAAAAAGUUAAGCUUUUAAAUAAAUAUUAAAGAUAUUAUUCCCUUGUAGUGUAGUUUAAUAGCUAUCUACAUAAUAACUUAACAUAAAGUAUGACAGUUUAUAUUUUAUAGUAUGACGCUAACCGUUUUGUUAAUAUUUGAAAAUGUUAGUAUUAGUAGUAUUAGUAUAUGUGCUAAAGGAACUUGGCAAAAAACCGCUCAACUGUUUAUCAAAAACAUAGCUAUAUGAAUUAAUAUAUAGUUAUUUCUGCUCAAUGACUUAAAUAGCCGCAGUACUCUGACUGUGCAAAGGUAGCAUAAUCAGUUGGCUCCUAAUUAGAGUCUGGUAUGAACGAAAAUAUGGGUAGUAACUGUCUUAGCACAUUUUUAUGAACUUACUAAACAAGUGCAAAUGCUUGUAAUUUAACAAUAGACGAGAAGACCCUAGAAACUUGGACAAGUUUUUGUUGGGGCGACAGAAUUACAUUUAACUAAUCUUAUAAUACAUGACGCAAUGUUGAAAGAAUAAGUUACUCUAGGGAUAACAGCAUAAUUUCGUUAGUUUGUGACCUCGAUGUUGGACUAGGUACUAUACCCUUAAGGCAAGGAUAUAUUGUGCUCUGUUCGAGCAAAAUUACCUACAUGAUCUGAGUUCAGACCGG
This 814-nucleotide ribosomal RNA is filed under the name Helix pomatia (Roman snail). Its description in RNAcentral is "partial 16S ribosomal RNA". The record is from RNAcentral. Lineage: Eukaryota; Metazoa; Mollusca; Gastropoda; Stylommatophora; Helicidae.